UGGGGAAUAUUGGACAAUGGGCGCAAGCCUGAUCCAGCAAUGCCGCGUGUGUGAAGAAGGCCUUCGGGUUGUAAAGCACUUUUAUCAGGAGCGAAACGCUGUCGGCUAAUACCCGGCGGAACUGACGGUACCUGAGGAAUAAGCACCGGCUAACUUCGUGCCAGCAGCCGCGGUAAUACGAAGGGUGUAAGCGUUAAUCGGAAUUACUGGGCGUAAAGCGUGCGUAGGCGGUGACUUAAGUCUGCUGUGAAAUCCCCGGGCUCAAACGGGGAAUGGCAGUGGAUACUGGGUCGCUAGAGUGUGAUAGAGGAUGGUGGAAUUCCCGGUGUAGCGGUGAAAUGCGUAGAGAUCGGGAGGAACAUCAGUGCAGAAGGCGGCCAUCUGGAUCAACACUGACGCUGAGGCACGAAAGCGUGGGGAGCAAACA
RNAcentral lists this ribosomal RNA (427 nucleotides) under uncultured bacterium. RNAcentral's name for it is "bacterial SSU rRNA". It matches the Rfam family "Bacterial small subunit ribosomal RNA", at positions 355 to 774 of the family's 1533-position model. The record is from RNAcentral.